Molecule: ribosomal RNA, 499 nt
Filed under: uncultured bacterium
Lineage: Bacteria
Description: partial 16S ribosomal RNA
Rfam family: Bacterial small subunit ribosomal RNA
Source: RNAcentral
GACGAACGCUGGCGGCGUGCCUAAUACAUGCAAGUCGAGCGGACCGAACAGGAGCUUGCUCUUGUUCGGUUAGCGGCGGACGGGUGAGUAACACGUGGGUAACCUGCCCGUAAGACCGGGAUAACUCCGGGAAACCGGAGCUAAUACCGGAUAACACCGAAGACCGCAUGGUCUUUGGUUGAAAGGCGGCUUCGGCUGCCACUUACGGAUGGGCCCGCGGCGCAUUGGCUAGUUGGUGAGGUAACGGCUCACCAAGGCGACGAUGCGUAGCCGGCCUGAGAGGGUGACCGGCCACACUGGGACGGAGACACGGCCCAGACUCCUACGGGAGGCAGCAGUAGGGAAUCUUCCGCAAUAGACGAAAGGCUGACGGAGCGACGCCGCGUGAGCGAAGAAGGUCUUCGGAUCGUAAAGCUCUGUUGCUAGGGAAGAAGAAGCGUCGUUCGAACAGGGCGGCGCGGUGACGGUACCUAACGAGAAAGCCCCGGCUAACUACGUG